GGUCUCGCUGUGCAGUCUGGGCUGGCCUUGAGCUCACUUUGUAGCCCAGGCUGGUCUCGAACUCACAACGAUCCUCCUGCCUCAGCCUCCCGAGUGCUGGGAUUACAGGCAUGAGCCACCAUGCCCG
Cavia aperea (Brazilian guinea pig) is the source of this 127-nucleotide microRNA precursor. The record is from Ensembl. NCBI's taxonomy places the organism in Eukaryota, Metazoa, Chordata, Mammalia, Rodentia, Caviidae.